AAGUCGUAACAAGGUCUCCGUAGGUGAACCUGCGGAGGGAUCAUUGCUGUUGGAGAAUAAAAACGGAUUUAUUCGUUUUUUAUUUAUCAUUCGCGCUUGUACAGUUUGACAGAGUAGGUGUACUAUAUUGAGUGACAACUUUUAACAAUGGAUCUCUUGGCUCUU
This 165-nucleotide unclassified non-coding RNA is filed under the name fungal sp. RNAcentral's name for it is "partial internal transcribed spacer region". The stretch from base 1 to 46 matches the Rfam family "Eukaryotic small subunit ribosomal RNA", at positions 1786 to 1831 of the family's 1831-position model. The record is from RNAcentral. Lineage: Eukaryota; Fungi.